Molecule: transfer RNA, 76 nt
Filed under: Burkholderiales bacterium
Lineage: Bacteria; Pseudomonadati; Pseudomonadota; Betaproteobacteria; Burkholderiales
Description: tRNA-His
Rfam family: tRNA
About the family: Transfer RNA (tRNA) molecules are approximately 80 nucleotides in length.
Source: RNAcentral
GUGGGUAUAGCUCAGUUGGUAGAGCCCCGGAUUGUGAUUCCGGUUGUCGUGGGUUCGAGUCCCAUUAUCCACCCCA